Triticum aestivum (bread wheat) is the source of this 119-nucleotide non-coding RNA. The record is from Rfam. NCBI's taxonomy places the organism in Eukaryota, Viridiplantae, Streptophyta, Magnoliopsida, Poales, Poaceae.
CAUCUAGUCCAUCCGUCCGAAAAAGCUUGUCCCAAACUUGUUUCUCAAAUGGAUGUAUCUAGCACAACUUGAUGCUAGAUACAUUUGGGACAAGCUUUUUCGGACGGAGGGAGUAGAAC